CUGAGAACCUUUCUCUUGCUCAGCCUACAGCAUGAUCUUGUAGGGGAGUUUGUCUUGCAUAGCACAUGAACCAAGAUUUUCUUGAAGAUUUCAACAAAAGAUCAAGAAACUAGAGGAAUAGUUUUUUCAACUUUGGUGUAUCCCCAAACUCAGCCUUCCACUGCUUCUGAGCCAGCUAUGCUGUCUGCUUUGUGCUUAGGACUUGUGAUCUUGUUGAUAAUGCGAGGGACCAGUGGAGACUCGGUGACCCAGACAGAAGGUGUUGUUACCCUCCCCGAGAAGACAUCUCUGACUCUGAAGUGUACUUACCAGUCCAGCUAUUCAGGUUUUCUUUUCUGGUAUGUCCAGUACCAAAACAAAGAGCUUGAGCUGCUCCUGAAAAGCUCAUUAAACCAGAAGGUGACCAGCAGAGGUUUUGAAGCCACUCAUAUCUCAAGUGACAGCUCCUUCCACCUGCAGAAAUCCUCCAUGCAAACAUCAGACUCAGCUGUGUACUACUGUGCUCUGAGUGACACAGUGAGAGAGGCCGCAGUGGGAGCUGAACACAAACCCAAGGGCACAGAUGGGGUCAGGCUGUGGGCAGCUCUCCAGAGUUCUGUGCUAAAGGCAUUGUCAAAGUACUUUCAGCUCUGAAGCUCAGAGCUAAGAACCUUGGAAUUCUUGGAUUGCCCUACAGAGAGGAAUCUGGGGCAGGACAGUGUAAAGAGGAACCUAAGCACUUUUCUCCACAAAUGCCUGUUUUCAGCCCAUUCACAUUCCCCAUAAAGGCACAGAAUCCCUUGAAGUGUCAUUAACUCUUCAGUGACAAUUCAGUUGAUAUAUGCUGAAAUAUUUCACAACCUGUUAAUGAAAACUCCCAGGAACAUUGUUAAUGGAUGACUGUGUGAUCUGGAAGGUAGUCUCUGGUUUUAAUAAUUCAGACUAGGAUUGUAUGUCUUGCUGAGAUACACCUGCAGA
Non-coding RNA from Bubalus bubalis (water buffalo), 957 nucleotides. Lineage: Eukaryota; Metazoa; Chordata; Mammalia; Artiodactyla; Bovidae. The record is from the annotation of a RefSeq genome assembly.